Molecule: non-coding RNA, 125 nt
Organism: Brachypodium distachyon (stiff brome)
Lineage: Eukaryota; Viridiplantae; Streptophyta; Magnoliopsida; Poales; Poaceae
Source: Rfam
UAUUUACUCCCUCUAAUCCUAAAUUCUUGACUCAAAUUUGCCAAAAUAUGGAUGUAUCUAUUCUUAAAAAGCGUCUAGAUACAUUUAAUAUUUUGACAACAAUUUAGGAUUAGAGGGAGUAUUAU